AGUCCUUUCAAUAUCUAUCGAAUAAUCCCUUUCCUCUCUCCAUCUCCAACCUCUGCUCACCUUCCUCAACUUUUCUUCACCCUUUACUUUAUUUAUAUGUAUAUAUAUAAUCUCGAACAUCCCCAGUUCCUCUCUUAUCAUUCUCUUUGGAGCCCCACAAAUGGAAGGUCAAGAUGCACCACCUCCACCAUUACCACAACUGCCACCCUCUCUCUUCUCACCUUCACUUCUUCCUUCCUCAUCAUUGCAACCUCCCUUUAUUGAGCCUCAAGUCCUUCCGGAUAUUGAUUGGGUUAGCCUUCUCUCGGGUCAAUCCGGGGUAGGAGAUCAGAAUAGGCCACCAACGAUGGAAAGCGCUUCUGUGAUAGCUGAGGAAGAAAAGAAGGAAAACAAAGAUAGAAUGAGAAAGAGUGGCCGAAUCAUGAAGAAACAUAGUCGGCCUAGGUUUGCUUUUCAAACUAGGAGUGCCGAUGAUAUUCUCGAUGACGGCUACCGCUGGAGGAAAUAUGGCCAGAAAGCUGUGAAAAACAGCUCAUAUCCCAGGAGUUACUAUCGCUGCACCCAUCCCACCUGCAAUGUGAAGAAGCAAGUCCAAAGACUCUCCAAGGACACGAGCAUAGUAGUCACAACUUACGAGGGAAUUCAUAACCAUCCUUGCGAGAAGCUCAUGGAAACUCUAACUCCUCUUCUUAAGCAGAUGCAGUUCUUCGCUAGGUUCUAAGUUCACUCUCAGCUGUAAUUAAUUGGUGUUCAAGAACAAAUCAAAAGCAGAAGUUUAAUGAUUCUGUUCUUGGCAUUCUGCAAUUUAUAUAUACUUCCUGUACUUGUUAUUAUAUGCAUACAUGCAGUAACCUCGUGUCAAUACCAUAGAAUCAAUAAACUUUUAUAGAAGACUUGCAAUGUGAUAGAUUGAUCGACGGCUCGAUCGAGAUCCACUAUAGCUGAAAAACCCCAUCCCCACCUAAGUUUUCAAGUGACCCAUGUUCAUGUUGGACCGCAGUCAGAUCACUUUAUAAU
This 1017-nucleotide unclassified non-coding RNA is filed under the name Hevea brasiliensis (rubber tree). The record is from RNAcentral. Lineage: Eukaryota; Viridiplantae; Streptophyta; Magnoliopsida; Malpighiales; Euphorbiaceae.